GAGUCUGACGGAGCACGCCGCGUGAGUGAUGAAGGCUUUCGGGUCGUAAAACUCUGUUGUUAGGGAAGAACAAGUGCUAGUUGAAUAAGCUGGCACCUUGACGGUACCUAACCAGAAAGCCACGGCUAACUACGUGCCAGCAGCCGCGGUAAUACGUAGGUGGCAAGCGUUAUCCGGAAUUAUUGGGCGUAAAGCGCGCGCAGGUGGUUUCUUAAGUCUGAUGUGAAAGCCCACGGCUCAACCGUGGAGGGUCAUUGGAAACUGGGAGACUUGAGUGCAGAAGAGGAAAGUGGAAUUCCAUGUGUAGCGGUGAAAUGCGUAGAGAUAUGGAGGAACACCAGUGGCGAAGGCGACUUUCUGGUCUGUAACUGACACUGAGGCGCGAAAGCGUGGGGAGCAAACAGGAUUAGAUACCCUGGUAGUCAACGCCGUAAACAAUGA
RNAcentral lists this ribosomal RNA (441 nucleotides) under Bacillus pseudomycoides. Its description in RNAcentral is "bacterial SSU rRNA". It matches the Rfam family "Bacterial small subunit ribosomal RNA", at positions 379 to 812 of the family's 1533-position model. The record is from RNAcentral. Lineage: Bacteria; Bacillati; Bacillota; Bacilli; Caryophanales; Bacillaceae.